Molecule: long non-coding RNA, 466 nt
Filed under: Malus domestica (apple)
Lineage: Eukaryota; Viridiplantae; Streptophyta; Magnoliopsida; Rosales; Rosaceae
Description: long non-coding RNA (MDOM_LNC013352)
Source: RNAcentral
ACCAAGUAUAUACUAUCUUUAUGUUACACACACUUCCUUUUAUAGAGGAAGUGCAUGGCAAUGGAGGGCAACAUGGAGUGGUGUAGCAAUUGAGUGCAAUGAUGCAUGAAAUCUGAAAUGAUGGAGGGAACAAGGAAUGGUGUAGCAAUUGAGUGCAAUAAUUCAAUGUAAUGAUGCAUGAAAUCUGAAAUGAUGGAGGGAACAAGGAAUGGUGUAGCAAUUGAGUGCAAUGAUUCAAUGUAAUGAUGAAUGAAAUCUGAAAUGAUGGAGGGAACAAGGAUGAUUAUGCAUGGCAUGGGUGGAAAGGUGUAAGUGGUGAAUCAAUGAGUGCAAGGAGGUGAAAGGAUAUUGUGCACAUGGUAGACAAAGGAAAGGAAGUGGACUGAUGCAACAAAUGAGUUAAUUGAGGGAACAUGGAUGAUGAUGCACGGACAUAGGAAUCCAAAGGGAGUGCAAUGGUGGUGCA